AUGGCGGAGGCAUCAUGGAGCAACUCCCCUCCGUCUGCCAAGCAUCACCGUGGUGAGGCGUCUGGCAAGGAGCCGCUGGCGGUCGACGACGACGUUCCGGUCCCCGGGCAGAAGCGGGACUACACCGUGCCGCUCAAGGUUGAUAUUCACCUGAAGGAGCCGCUGGAUGUCGUAUGCACCAGCAAUCUAGACGAAGCCGACAAGAUGAUCCGCAAGAUAAGGAGGAGGCUCGGCGGCAUGCUUUCUCGGAAUAUCAGCGUUGAUGUCGAGUAUACCAGGGAAGACAAACCUCCGCAAAUUGUUGCAGUUCUGCAGUUAUGCAUGGAGGAUCUCGUCCUGGUAUACCACAUCACCGCGGCAACCAAAUGGCCCAAGGAACUCCGCCCGCUCCUAUAG
RNAcentral lists this ribosomal RNA (396 nucleotides) under Triticum aestivum (bread wheat). RNAcentral's name for it is "partial small subunit ribosomal RNA". The record is from RNAcentral. Lineage: Eukaryota; Viridiplantae; Streptophyta; Magnoliopsida; Poales; Poaceae.